Molecule: ribosomal RNA, 409 nt
Filed under: Clostridioides difficile
Lineage: Bacteria; Bacillati; Bacillota; Clostridia; Peptostreptococcales; Peptostreptococcaceae
Description: bacterial SSU rRNA
Rfam family: Bacterial small subunit ribosomal RNA
Source: RNAcentral
AGUUGCGAAGGCGGCUCUCUGGACUGUAACUGACGCUGAGGCACGAAAGCGUGGGGAGCAAACAGGAUUAGAUACCCUGGUAGUCCACGCUGUAAACGAUGAGUACUAGGUGUCGGGGGUUACCCCCUUCGGUGCCGCAGCUAACGCAUUAAGUACUCCGCCUGGGAAGUACGCUCGCAAGAGUGAAACUCAAAGGAAUGGACGGGGACCCGCACAAGUAGCGGAGCAUGUGGUUUAAUUCGAAGCAACGCGAAGAACCUUACCUAAGCUGGACAUCCCAAUGACAUCUCCUUAAUCGGAGAGUUCCCUUCGGGGACAUUGGUGACAGGUGGUGCAUGGUUGUCGUCAGCUCGUGUCGUGAGAUGUUGGGUUAAGUCCCGCAACGAGCGCAACCCUUGUCUUUAGUUGC